Molecule: ribosomal RNA, 588 nt
Filed under: uncultured bacterium
Lineage: Bacteria
Description: bacterial SSU rRNA
Rfam family: Bacterial small subunit ribosomal RNA
Source: RNAcentral
UCCUACGGGAGGCAGCAGUAGGGAAUCUUCCGCAAUGGACGAAAGUCUGACGGAGCAACGCCGCGUGAGCGAAGAAGGCCUUCGGGUCGUAAAGCUCUGUUGUAAGGGAAGAACAAGUGCCAUUUAACUGAUGGCACCUUGACGGUACCUUACGAGAAAGCCACGGCUAACUACGUGCCAGCAGCCGCGGUAAUACGUAGGUGGCAAGCGUUGUCCGGAUUUAUUGGGCGUAAAGCGCGCGCAGGCGGUCCUUUAAGUCUGAUGUGAAAGCCCACGGCUCAACCGUGGAGGGUCAUUGGAAACUGGGGGACUUGAGUGCAUAAGAGGAAAGUGGAAUUCCACGUGUAGCGGUGAAAUGCGUAGAGAUGUGGAGGAACACCAGUGGCGAAGUCGACUUUCUGGUCUGUAACUGACGCUGAGGCGCGAAAGCGUGGGGAGCAAACAGGAUUAGAUGCCCUGGUAGUCCACGCCGUAAACGAUGAGUGCUAAGUGUUAGGGGGUUUCCGCCCCUUAGUGCUGCAGCUAACGCAUUAAGCACUCCGCCUGGGGAGUACGGCCGCAAGGCUGAAACUCAAAGGAAUUGACGGA